Long non-coding RNA from Psammomys obesus (fat sand rat), 3066 nucleotides. RefSeq lists it as uncharacterized. The record is from RefSeq and is a predicted model, not a curated record. Lineage: Eukaryota; Metazoa; Chordata; Mammalia; Rodentia; Muridae. The transcript has 2 exons.
CUGUAGAUAUAGGAGGGUGGGACAUGGGGUGUGGCCAGGACCACAUUAUAAAUCCGUAAUGUCAUUAUACUGUGACGUUAUCAACUGAGCCUCCAUUCCUUAAGCUUGUAUCCAGAAGUGACACAAGGCGAGGUGGGCUUUAGUCUCUUCUAGGGUUGCUAGCCCAGGCAGGGGAAACAUGAACUCACUGGAAACAAGAGUUAGCUCUCUCUUUAGAGUGCAAAAUAGAGUAGACUUACAGGGCAUGGAACAACACUGUAACAGUGCCAUGCACACGAUGAAAGUAUGUUUUGUUUUUGUUUUGUCUGGUCGGUAUUUGGAGGUACGCAAUAACUGGCUAAUAGAGAAGAUCUCUUUUCCUAGAUAUUUGGGGACUCAGUAUUUAGAAAAGUGAGUAUUCUCUCAUCAAACCUCCAAAAUGGCAGUCGAAGCUCCAGUCAGCACAUCUCCCUCUGAAGAGCUUGAUUGUUGUGCUACAGAAAGAACAAAAACCAAACACUCCAUUAAGAGAAUACGGGUUUGGUGGUAUAAUUCAGUGGUAGAGUACCAGCACGCACAAAGUCCUGAGGACCAGAAGAUGAGAGUCUAGGAGCACUCAACGGCAAUAUGUUGUUGUUACGGUUAAUCUUCGUUGUCAGCUUGACCAGAUUAUAAAUCACCUAGGAGACACUCCUCUGGGCAUGUCUGUAAGGUGUGUCCAAAGAGGUUUAAGUAAGUAAAGGGCUAUCCUGAGUGUGGGUGCCUGUUUAUACACACACACACACACACACACACGGGCUGAGCUCCCAGACUGAAUAAAAAGGGAAAAGAAGACCACAUUAUUGGAGCUGAGCACCAAUAAUUGUUUCUUUGCUUCCUCCCUGGAAGCAACGUGAUGUGCUGCCUCAGGCUCCUGCCACCACAGCAGAGCUGCUCUUACUGUCAUGCCUUUCCAGCUGUGAGGGACAACACCCCAAGAUGUGAUCCAAAACAAAUGUUUUCUUUUUUAAGUUGCUUAUGUCAUAUGGUUUGUCCAUGGAACAUGCCACUCAAAAGGGCUGUUUCUCUGAUAAACGUGACCAUGUGGUUUGUCGAUUACUGGGAUUGAUUUUUUUGGAGGUAGACAGUAAAGACUGGACUCAAGAAGUCCAGGGGGGAGCAAGGAGUCAGUCAGGAGCCAGACAAGGGGCUGUUCAUGUGCUAUACUGUGAAAGAAAAUGACUGCAUUCUUCCUGUGCCCUGAGAACUUGUAUGUGAGGCUGAAUUCAAAGGUAAUGGACUAGUUUGUUUGACAGAGAGCAUUUUAAGACAAUAUAACAUUCAAACUGAGGCAUAGUUAGUGAGCACGGGUCUUCACCCAGUUUACAGUGAGAAAGAGCAGCAAGUGGGGAGGGAGAUAUGAAAGAUGUGCCAUUUGGUGAAAUAUGUGCCAUUUGGUGAGAUAGGAAUGCGAAUGAGUUUUUAGGCUGCAGGUGAGAAGGGCACAGAGAAAGUAGCUAUAAUUGUCGGAGAGUUUAACAGGACUAAGAAGAAACUUGCCGUUCACACUGGGAUAGUAGGAAAGUACCUUGAUUCUACCUAUCAAAGAUUCUAAAUGUGUGCUGGAGAGAUAACUCAGCAGUUAAGAGCACUGGCUGUUCUUUCAAAGAUCUUUAGUAAAAUUCCUAGCAUGGACAUGCAACUCACAACCUAACUGUAGUCCCAUGGGAUCUGAUGACCUCCUCUGGCUACAGACAUACACACAAACAAAACACCCAGAUAGAUAAAGAAGUAAGUCUUUUUAAAAAAGAUACUAACUUGUAAAAAUGCAAAUUCAAUGCUUGGAAAUGUCACUCCUGCGGUUGGCUGCCAGUACCCAGAGGGCACUACAGCUGUGGUGAAGGGGAAUAGACUACUUCUCACUGUAGCAUCAGACCUUGGCAUAGUCAUCCAUGUGUGCUGGUUUUACAGGCCUGGAAAAAGCAAGAGUUACAGAAAGACGUGAAGCUGGGCAAUGUGUGGCAGGGUCAUAUUCCCUUCAAGGAGACCCCCGAGAGGUCAUUUCGUAGAGAUGUGAAGCUGAACCUUGGCUGCAAGGGGAAAGCCACUUUGGAGAUGCCGGCUGCAAGCAGAGAGGCGAACAGUGGAGCCACAGGGAGGCUGUGUGUGCUAUGGUCACAGAACUGGUGAGGUGGGGCCACCCACGGCCGCAGGAGCCCAGGUGACGGACGUUAUGAAGAGCCCCACGUUCAGGACACGAAGUGGAAGAACUUGGUGUUUUCCCUAGGCCUCACAGUUAAGAGGUUGUGUGAAUAGACUCUGCACUUACACACUUUCGAAUAAUUUGGAGCUGACAAGACUACAGGGACUUUUGAAAUGGGAAUGGAUGUGCUUUAUGUUACAAGGUAGCCAUGUGUCUGCAAAGCCUGGGGGAGGGGUGGCAGUGUGAGGUGUUUGGGUUGGGAAGGUGGUUCAGUGAGCAGAAGCCUUGCUUGCACGCCUGGUGACCUGAGUUUUACCUUUAGAUCCCAUUAGGUGGCAGGAGACACCUCUGACCUCCACAUGCAUGAGGUAGCAUGUAUGCACCUGCCUAUACAUGCUUGUACCUGCAUGGGAACAGACACAUACACUCUAAAUUCAGUAACAUUAAAAAAAUGAUGUGUUUAGUUAUAAGACUGACAGGGAUGGGCUUGUAGUGACUAAUUCAUUGUCAGCUGAUCACCUAGGAGACAUAUCUGGGCAUAUCCAUGAGAAUGUUUCCAGAAAGAUUUAAUAUAAAAAAGGCCCAUCCUGAACGUGAGCGGCGCUAUCCUGUUGGCUGAGGUUCUGUACUGAACGAAAAAGGAAAACCUUGCACCGAAAAAAAUAAUUACAUGUCAAAAUGAACCAGACCCAAAGUCUACACACCUGGAUGAACUUGUGUACAGUUAGCAAGGUGUUCGGAAGCUGUUGAGCACCAUAUGGAAUUUUACACCUCGUGCUUUUGGAGUGUGGAGACGAUGUGAUGUGACCGGUUGCCUCAUGUCCCUGCUGUUUUUCUCGCUACCAGGCUUUUCCCGUCACAAUGUACCCUCAAUAUGUGAGCCAAAAUAAACUCUUUAAUCUUCA